GGAUAUGAGGAAACUCUGACUGUAACAUCUGUCACCCUGUUGAUUGCCUGGGUUGAUUCAGCUGAUCUGGCUGGUUAGGCAGAUGUUCCCUUCUUCCCUCACUGUUCCAUGUAUGUCCCUUCUGAAGCUGCACAGUUCCAUGAGCCUCAAUCCCAAAGUUGGAUGCUCAUUCGAAGAGGAUUAACUUCCCUGAGCAGAGUCUGACCAGUCCUGGGUAGUGGGUACAUGAGUAACUGCAUUCCCCUGCUAGAACCUUCAAACAAGCUUUUAGAUAGAUGAUUCAUUGGUGAUAGAUAGAUAGAUAGAUAGACAGAUAGAUAUGAAAAGAGGAAAAAUUACUACAGCACUAAAAUUUUC
Molecule: unclassified non-coding RNA, 357 nt
Organism: Erinaceus europaeus (western European hedgehog)
Lineage: Eukaryota; Metazoa; Chordata; Mammalia; Eulipotyphla; Erinaceidae
Gene: 7SK
Rfam family: 7SK RNA
About the family: 7SK was discovered as an abundant small nuclear RNA in the mid-70s but a possible function has only recently been suggested. Two independent studies have found that 7SK RNA binds the CDK9/cyclin T complex (known as elongation factor P-TEFb). P-TEFb activates transcription by phosphorylating the C-terminal domain of RNA polymerase II.
Source: Ensembl